Molecule: ribosomal RNA, 251 nt
Filed under: uncultured Rhodocyclaceae bacterium
Lineage: Bacteria; Pseudomonadati; Pseudomonadota; Betaproteobacteria; Rhodocyclales; Rhodocyclaceae
Description: partial 16S ribosomal RNA
Rfam family: Bacterial small subunit ribosomal RNA
Source: RNAcentral
GGGCACUCUAAUGGGACUGCCGGUGACAAACCGGAGGAAGGUGGGGAUGACGUCAAGUCCUCAUGGCCCUUAUGGGUAGGGCUUCACACGUCAUACAAUGGUCGGUACAGAGGGUUGCCAACCCGCGAGGGGGGAGCUAAUCCCACAAAGCCGAUCGUAGUCCGGAUCGCAGUCUGCAACUCGACUGCGUGAAGUCGGAAUCGCUAGUAAUCGUGGAUCAGCAUGUCACGGUGAAUACGUUCCCGGGCCUU